CCUACGGUGGGCAGCAGUGAGGAAUAUUGGUCAAUGGACGGAAGUCUGAACCAGCCAUGCCGCGUGCAGGAAGACGGCUCUAUGAGUUGUAAACUGCUUUUGUACAAGGGUAAACCUGAAUACGUGUAUUCAGCUGAAAGUACUGUACGAAUAAGGAUCGGCUAACUCCGUGCCAGCAGCCGCGGUAAUACGGAGGAUUCAAGCGUUAUCCGGAUUUAUUGGGUUUAAAGGGUGCGUCGGUUGUUUUUUAAGUCAGCGGUGAAAGUUUGUGGCUCAACCAUAAAAUUGCCGUUGAAACUGGAAGACUUGAGUGUGUGUGAGGUAGGCGGAAUGCGUGGUGUAGCGGUGAAAUGCAUAGAUAUCACGCAGAACCCCGAUUGCGAAGGCAGCAUGCCGGCUUCAGACUGACGCUGAAGCACGAAAGCGUGGGGAUCGAACAGGAUUAGAUACCCUAGUAGUC
This 460-nucleotide ribosomal RNA is filed under the name uncultured bacterium. RNAcentral describes it as "partial 16S ribosomal RNA". It matches the Rfam family "Bacterial small subunit ribosomal RNA", at positions 338 to 795 of the family's 1533-position model. The record is from RNAcentral.